RNAcentral lists this ribosomal RNA (450 nucleotides) under uncultured bacterium. Its description in RNAcentral is "bacterial SSU rRNA". It matches the Rfam family "Bacterial small subunit ribosomal RNA", at positions 331 to 794 of the family's 1533-position model. The record is from RNAcentral.
CCCGACUCCUACGGGAGGCAGCAGUGGGGAAUAUUGCACACUGGGCGAAAGCCUGCUGCAGCAACGCCGCUUGAAGGAAUACGGGUUUCGGCUCGUCCCCUUCUAUCCACCUUUACGAAAGACCUGCCGGUACCUUCCUUCUAAGCCCCCUCUCCCUACGUGCCCGCCUCCGCGGGACUCCUUCGGGGGCACGCUGUCUCCGGAAGGACUUGGUGUAAAGGGUGAGUAGGCGGCAUGGGAAGCCAGAUGUGAAAGCCUUGGGCGGAACCCGAGGAUUGCAUUUGGAACUAUCAAGCUAGAGUACAGGAGAGGAAAGCGGAAUUCCUAGUGUAGCGGUGAAAUGCGUAGAUAGGAGGAAGAACACCAGUGGCGAAGGCGGCGUUCCGGACUGAAACUGACGCUGAGGCACGAAAGCGUGGGGAGCGAACAGGAUUAGAUACCCGAGUAUGC